CUCACAAAGUGGUUGUGAAA
This 20-nucleotide microRNA is filed under the name Drosophila ananassae. RNAcentral describes it as "Dan-Mir-2-P4a-v2_5p* (star (passenger))". The record is from RNAcentral. Lineage: Eukaryota; Metazoa; Arthropoda; Insecta; Diptera; Drosophilidae.